AAAUUAAAGUAAAAUCUCAUCAAUACCAACACUCCCCCUUAUGAGAUUUUUGUUGCAGUUGUGGAUCUCAAAUGAGAAUUUAAGAGAAAAAUAGCUUUGAGACUCAAACCCUGAAGAAGGAAAAUAGCUUUUGGGAUUGAGACUCAUUACUUUGUGAAGAUGGAGGACAAUAAGAAAGCAAAAACCCUUGAAUUUUCUAUUUCUUUACAUGGUAUCAGAGUCUACCUUGUUUCAAUGUUAGGCCGCUCUCAGAUAUAUUUUCCUGCAAGCUUCAUGCCCCAAAUGUACAUACUUGGGCAUAAGGGGAGUGUGUUAUUCCACAUUGGUUUGGUUUGGGAUGAGACAUUUGAGAUAACUUUUGGGGUGGAGUUAUGCCCAGUCCAUUUUCUCUACAGGCACAUAUAAUGCCAAUUACAUUCGCGUGAGCUAAUAUUGAUGUAUUUUGUAAAUAUAAACUGUUGCCUCUGUUUAGUGCUAAGGACAAAGGAGGCAUGUAGGAUUAGUAUCUCAACUGUUAAAGAUUCCCAAGGAAUUAUUGACAGGGAAGAAAUGUUUGCUUUUAGCAAAGGGAGAGAAAGUGGGGGAGUCAUGAGGACUUUAGAUUAAAUCAAUGGAAGCAAUAGGUUCUGAUAAACAUUAAGCGUCUUCAAUCAUUAGUAUUUUAUGUUUGUUAAUGCUUUGCAGCAACUAGAUCCUUCAUCUUAUUUGCGUUCAAAGCACUAGUAUGUGAUGUUUCUACGCAUUUUACAUGCUGUAUUGGUAAACAGUAAAUGCCAUAAAGAAUUACAAGCUAACUGCUAGCUUUAGGGUAUAGUUGGAUGGUGCAAAAUAUUUCAUGCUUAUGUUUAUUCUUUAGUUUGUUGUGAGUUGAAGUGUGUAGUAAUACGUAGCCUCCCAUUUGAGUCAAAACACCAAGUAAGAGAUUUAUUUAUCUAAUAUCAUUUCUGUUAUUUAAAUAGCAUGAUUUAAAAUUAUUUACAUUUUACUUCAAAGAUGUGCUCCGAGGCAGGCAUCUGUUCCUUUUGUUUCAGAUUAGCUUAAAUGUCCCUGGUGCUUAUAAGUUUUAGUAACUUCCCCAAUUGUUAUCUGUAUUGGCAAGCAUAACCCACAUGGACUCUUGUGUAACUUCAUGCCAAAAAUGCUAGGGCGUCCCAUUCUUUGAGUCUGUCAGUUUGACAUUGCUCAGAAGAACUACAGACCCUCGUCUUUAUUGCUAUAUUUUUCUCAUCUCAAGCUCGAUAAAGAGAUCCUUAUAAUGUCUUUUGAGUUUCUUCAGGAAAUUCGUUAUAAAAUUUCAUCAUUAUAAUCUUCUUUCUAUUUCAUGCCAUUACUGACUUUCGGCUGAGAGUAGAGUGAAGUUGAAAUACAUCUAUUUCCUAUUUAUAGUCUGAUUCCAAGAUCAAUAUUUUUAGUUUUUUCCUUUCACUUUGAAAAUCUAUGAAGUUUUAUGCCCCACCAGUUCUCCAGAAUACCUCUAAUUCAACUUGUCUAGAAAACCCAAUUCAAGUUGUGCCCUAUGAACUUCAUUUUAGGUUUAACUUCUUUAAAAUAACAGGAAUAGUUAUGGGAAUGAAUUUAGGUUUAACCUGCAGCACUAUUAGGCAUAGUCUACCACUUAAAAUCUAUAUGGAUGUUCUAGCUGCUCUUGUACUAAUUGUCCCUCAUCUGUAUUUUCUGAUUCUGAAGCUCUAUGGCUUUGUUGCUUUGUUGAUUUUUAUGGUUUUAUCUGAAAUUAUAUAGGAAACAUUAAGUUCUGAAAAGUGUAAUGUUAUACAGGCUAAACUUGCCUUGAGAUGACAU
RNAcentral lists this unclassified non-coding RNA (1800 nucleotides) under Hevea brasiliensis (rubber tree). The record is from RNAcentral. Lineage: Eukaryota; Viridiplantae; Streptophyta; Magnoliopsida; Malpighiales; Euphorbiaceae.